This is a long non-coding RNA of Chinchilla lanigera (long-tailed chinchilla), 732 nucleotides long. RefSeq lists it as uncharacterized. The record is from RefSeq and is a predicted model, not a curated record. The transcript has 4 exons. Lineage: Eukaryota; Metazoa; Chordata; Mammalia; Rodentia; Chinchillidae.
AAGAAAGAAAUGAAAGAAAAAGAAAGAAAGAAAGAAAGAAAGAAAGAAAGGAAGGAAGGAAGAAAAGGAGAGAGGCUUUCCUUUGAGUGCGUUCUUUGGGGCAGAGGUACAUCUCCCUUCCUGGCUCCUCCCCAACUCUCCGCUUCUGGUCUUCCAUCGGUGGCACCUUCUCCUAUGCUGUGCCCCUCGGCUACCCCGUCCUGCCUUGGAGCCCUCUGACUAUGGACCGAGACCUCUGCAAACUGUGAGCCAAGCAUUAAUCUGCUGGAAUUUGGAGGAAGGAUUUUGCUCCCUGUUUGAAAAGAACCAUUGCCACUUGCCCUACUCCUAUCUACUCUGAAGUGAUGUGAGCUGUGGAAUAGGACAUCAAGGCCAAGGAUGACAACUGACACUGCAAGAGCAACGUCCUUCACAGGCACCAUGCUUUCAACCUGGUCUGACCCGUGACCUGCUACUGCGGAUCCUCCAAGUCCAGGUCAAGGAGCCAUGGUGGCUCCAACACCAGCCACAGAAAGCAAUACAUCUGCAUGCUGAGCCCCAGAGCCCUCCUCCGAUGAUCCCGAGACCGCUAUACUUACAAUUUUACUGGUUGGUUAUAAUUUGACCCUUGUUGUACCCACUUCAUAAUUUUGCUCUGUAAAACUCAGAGAAGUGAGCUCUGUGGCAGCCCACUUUCAAGUCCCCUCCUGUCUCUCAAAAGCUACUUCUUUCAAUAAAUUUUCCAACUCCCAA